AAGGUUUGAUUAACUUAUGAAUGGGCAUCAUGCCACGUAAACAGAUGAGGUAGAGUAGGUAGAAUAUAAACAGAAUGUAUCUGUCAGUGUAGCCAUUGUGCUGGUAUAAUCCAUGAUUUCAUUCUAAGUAACUGUAUUAAUGUACAUAUUAAGCCAUAGUCACCUAGAGCAUAAACUCUUUAAUGACGAACAGGGACUUUUAGAAGCUGCUAAAAAAAAUUUUAUGCCAGUAGGAUAAUGUGCUAUGUAUUAAGGCAACUUAAUAAAUUAUACAAGCUAAAAAAAAGAUGUUUAGGUUCCUAUUUCUCAUUCAGGGCAGAAUCCUUGGGC
Molecule: long non-coding RNA, 330 nt
Filed under: Homo sapiens (human)
Lineage: Eukaryota; Metazoa; Chordata; Mammalia; Primates; Hominidae
Description: non-protein coding lnc-SLITRK6-20:2
Source: RNAcentral